Molecule: ribosomal RNA, 497 nt
Filed under: uncultured bacterium
Lineage: Bacteria
Description: partial 16S ribosomal RNA
Rfam family: Bacterial small subunit ribosomal RNA
Source: RNAcentral
GAUGAACGCUGGCGGCGUGCCUAAUACAUGCAAGUCGAGCGAACGGACGAGAAGCUUGCUUCUCUGAUGUUAGCGGCGGACGGGUGAGUAACACGUGGAUAACCUACCUAUAAGACUGGGAUAACUUCGGGAAACCGGAGCUAAUACCGGAUGAUAUUUUGAACCGCAUGGUUCAAAAGUGAAAGACGGUCUUGCUGUCACUUAUAGAUGGAUCCGCGCUGCAUUAGCUAGUUGGUAAGGUAACGGCUUACCAAGGCAACGAUGCAUAGCCGACCUGAGAGGGUGAUCGGCCACACUGGAACUGAGAAACGGUCCAGACUCCUACGGGAGGCAGCAGUAGGGAAUCUUCCGCAAUGGGCGAAAGCCUGACGGAGCAAAGCCGCGUGAGUGAUGAAGGUCUUCGGAUCGUAAAACUCUGUUAUUAGGGAAGAACAUAUGUGUAAGUAACUGUGCACAUCUUGACGGUACCUAAUCAGAAAGCCACGGCUAACUACGUG